GUUACAUUGAUAUAGCUGAUGAUGAUGGGAGAAAAAGUAACGUCAAACGUCCCUCGGACUUAAUGCAACCAGAUAAUAUGGAGCGACACAAUUUCCACAGGCACAUCUUGGGGAGAGACGCCUGCCACAGCUUGGGGAGAGACGCCCACAUCGAUCUACUACAAGCUUGCCUGAUGCCAAUGUUGUUUAGGAUGAAACAGUUGGCUUCUAAAAUGGCAAGCAACUUUUUGAUGCAAUUUUGCAAUGGGUUAAUUUCUGAAGGAUGCUAGAGAAUACUUGGUUCGAUACUACAUGAUGGACAAGAUGAAGGAUGUAGCGCAGCUGAAGAUGCAUGUGUUGUUGAUCAGACUACCAUGGUAUAUCUCUUCAUUUCUACCAUGGACAGAUAUGUAAUGGAAGAUAUAUUCUUGUUUUACUCACUACUUUCGUAUGUGCUACUAGAUGGCUUACACCCUUCUUUCAGAGAUAUAUGAAGGGGACAAAUGGUAGGAUUUUGUGUGCUAUGUGCUUAGUUUGUACUCCACCCGAGAUUAAAGUGCAGAGGCUGCUGUCCCUUGAAUAAUGUAUGACACGAUGCAAUACAAACCACUAUCGCUGAGAGCUCCGUUCCAUGGUGGGCUAUGUCAAAAUGAUCAUGCUCUUUGGGAAUGAGACACGGGCCGGUGACACAUUGCAAAGAAGUUUGUUCUCUAAAGCCUUUUGAAUGAGGGAACUCGGCCAUUUCUACUUAUCAUUUUGUCAAGGGAUCAGCAAUGAAAUUGGCAAUUACGCCAAGAUAGAGGCACAUAAGAAGAUGGCUUUUGGGAUCCUCCAGAC
Long non-coding RNA from Lolium rigidum, 816 nucleotides. RefSeq lists it as uncharacterized. The transcript is spliced from 5 exons. The record is from RefSeq and is a predicted model, not a curated record. Lineage: Eukaryota; Viridiplantae; Streptophyta; Magnoliopsida; Poales; Poaceae.